Molecule: ribosomal RNA, 253 nt
Filed under: uncultured bacterium
Lineage: Bacteria
Description: partial 16S ribosomal RNA
Rfam family: Bacterial small subunit ribosomal RNA
Source: RNAcentral
UACGAAGGGGGCUAGCGUUGUUCGGAAUUACUGGGCGUAAAGCGCGCGCAGGCGGUUCGCUAAGUUGGGGGUGAAAUCCCCGGGCUCAACCCGGGAAUUGCCUUCAAGACUGUCGAGCUAGAGGACGAGAGAGGUGAGUGGAAUUCCCAGUGUAGAGGUGAAAUUCGUAGAUAUUGGGAAGAACACCGGUGGCGAAGGCGGCUCACUGGCUCGUUUCUGACGCUGAGGCGCGAAAGCGUGGGGAGCAAACAGG